Molecule: RNA transcript, 5186 nt
Organism: Symphalangus syndactylus (siamang)
Lineage: Eukaryota; Metazoa; Chordata; Mammalia; Primates; Hylobatidae
Gene name: large ribosomal subunit protein eL39-like
Source: RefSeq, a predicted model, not a curated record
CUUUGAACGCAAGGGGGUGUUGUCGGGGUGAAGCCCCGCCUCCUCCAUUUCCGAGGCUGUUUCUGGGGCCUCUGACAGACCUCAGCGUGUGAUGGGCUCCCGGCGUCGCACUGUGAGAGACCGAAGUCUGCAAGCAGAUUUCAACAAAAUCCAAGAUUCUUCCAGGAACAACAGCAAAACCACUCUCAAUGCAUUUGAAGAAAUAGAGGGCUGUCUUCCUUUCUCUGCCAUCGUGGUGUGUUCUUGACUCCGCUUCUCGCCAUGUCUUCUCACAAGACUUUCAGGAUUAAGCGAUUCCUGGCUGAGAAACAAAAGCAAAAUCGUCCCAUUCCCCAGUGGAUUCGGAUGAAAACUGGAAAUAAAAUCAGGUACAACUCCAAAAGGAGACAUUGGAGAAGAACCAAGCUGGGUCUGUAAGGAAUUGCACAUGAGAUGGCACACAUAUUUAUGCUGUCUGAAGGUCACGAUCAUGUUACCGUAUCAAGCUGCAAAUGUCACCACUAUCUGGAGAUUUCGACGUGUUUUCCUCUCUGAAUCUGUUAUGAACACGUUGGUUGGCUGGGUUCAGUAAUAAAUAUGUGAGGCCUUUCGUUUUAAAAAAAAAAAAAAAAAAAAAGAAAAAGAAAUAGAGGAGUUCCCGGAAACGUCGGUGUAGAAGCAGAACCCAGAGCUGGUGUGCGCGUGCGCUGUCUGGCGCUGCAGGCGGAGUCACCGACUCUGUGCAGAGAGGAUUCGAGGGAUGAUGGAGUCUGGCUCUGCUGGCCUAGAAGCAGAGUGCACCCUCAUGCUCAGUGCUCAGUGGGUGUCUGAACUGAGGGGCAGUUGUCAGUUUGUCUGAGUGGGAAACAUCCUGGAUUUUGUUACUUGGCAAAGAGUUGGUGUAAACCUACAGCCAGCAGCAGUCUGGAGCCUGGGAGCCUCCUGAAGUCCUGGGUGAAGCCUCUGGUUUUACCAAUUGCAGGUCGGCUUGGCUGGGAGAGAUGGGUGGCGGGGAAGGGGCAGGAACCUUGAGGAGGAGGGAGAGGAGUCUUUCCUCCUACAGCUUCCCCCUGUCAGCCCCAACCCCAGCCCACACAUUGUACCAUCUCUCCUGCUGUGACUGGGUUGCCUGAAUUUGUGGGAGACCCUUGAUUCCAUCCCAGAGUGUGCGGGGGACGGAGCUGAAGGGGAAGCUUGUGAGAGAGAAGCAUCUGCCAAGACUUCGAGCUUAUUUUUAUGUCCUCAUCCUCUGAUGUUCUCCUUCUGAAAUGACACGGAGUCAGUCUGGGGGGCAGAGGUGAAGUGGAGACGGAAGGAUUUUCCAGGUGACCGGGGCCAAAACCACCAGAACAUCCACUCUGCCGCCACUGUCUGGUGAAAGGAUUCAUGUAAAAAUGUUCGAGGUGGAAUUAUAAAAAUAGUAACCAUAAGUGUUAAUCUUAAAUAGCAGAAAUAGAAACUUGGCCUUCAGAUAACAUGGCGAUUGAUUAGUUCAUCUGGCUUGAGGCAAACUGAGGAGUCCGGGCCUAGCAGUGCCCUCUGGGCCGGUUUCUCUGCCCUGGGCCACUCUGUGUGCCAGACUAGCUGGACAGAUAGAGACUCUGUGCCCCUGAUGGGGCUGGCUGGGGAGAGGUGGGCUGGGGUGUGUGAGGCUUCACCAUCCACAGCAGCCCCUGCCCUCCCAGCUGACCCAGGGAGUAACCGCACGCUCUAAGCCACAGUGGUCGGGGCUGGGCGUGGACCGCUGGAGAAGAGAAGAUUUGAGGGGGACUGUCCUAGAGGCAGGAGGAGCGGAUGUGUUCCAGAAUGGGCAGAACUAGGAAACUGAGAAAGAUUUUGGCUCAAUAGAAUCCAGCAACUGCUCCACAUGUUGGAGAUGUGUAAGCAGAAGCUGGUCGAGCACUUAAUGAGGAAUGUUGUUGAAAAUGAUCAUUGGAAGAAGUUUAAGAUCUCUUUUAGCCUGGAGAUUGUACAAAUCAGCAUUCCACAUCUGGAGUUAGCGACCCGCAUUAAGCCUGAACAGACAUCUUGGUCUGAAAGGAAGUGGUUUGGAUUCAUGACGCCACGCUCUACACUAUGGAGCUGGGAAUUCCAGAAUUGCUUUGACUCAGAUAUUAAUGGAGAAAGUUAUAUCCAUUAGUGGAUAAAGCCAUAUCUGUUAUGGAUAAAGCCAUAUCCAGAACUGCUUUGACUCAGAUGUGAAUGGAUAAAGCCAAUUAUUGAUUUCUAUUUGCCUAACCUGCCAGCUUUUGUCCCAGCGGCGAAUGGAGAGCCACACGGAUGUUUGUCGUCUCCCACGUUUUGGUGAUCUGCUGUCUGUGGGUCUCGAUGGAAUUUGUUGGCAAGACCGUUUUCUGUAUUGGAUAUUCUUCCCAACAGUGUCCACCCCAAAAGGCUUUCAGCCGAAAGGUCUGAGCCUAGGUAGGUUUACCAAGGGAAGCCAUGAGUCAAGAAGCAUCAGAGUGAAAAGGAUCACUUCCUUUAUUUUACCCGCAGGGGCUAAUGCUCCGAGAGGAAUGUGUACUUGGGCAAGGUCAUACAGGAAGGUCAUAUCAGAGCUGUGCAGGCUGGAGUGUCCUGAUUCUUGGACCACAGAUGUCUCCCUGAGCCAUUAUUUAUUUAUUUUUGAAAAGCACAGUUAUUCCAUCAUUUUGAGUCUUUCUUUGUAGUUGGCUUACAUUGGGGGGCAGGACUGUUUUCUCAGGUGUCUCAUUUGGCAGUCAGCAUUGUCCCCUAUGUUCCCUAUGACUAGCUGAAAAUUCAAGUGUGCCCAUAGGGGUGCACAAAACCACACCCACACCCACACCCCCACACACAUACCCACACCCCAUUAAACCCAUGGGUCUAUCAGGACAUCUUAAAACUCCGUGAUUGGCCGGGCGCGGUGGCUCACGCUUGUAAUCCCAGCACUUUGGGAGGCCGAGGCAGGCAGAUCACGAGGUCAGGAGAUCGAGACCACGGUGAAACCCUGUCUCUACUAAAAAAAAAAAAUACAAAAAAAUUAGCCGGGCGUGGUGGCGGGCGCCUGUAGUCCCAGCUACUCGGAGAGGCUGAGGCAGGAGAAUGGCGUGAACCUGGGAGGCGGAGCUUGCAGUGAGCCGAGAUUGCGCUACUGCACUCCAGCCUGGGCGACAGAGCGAGACUCUGUCUCAAAAAAAAAAGAAAAAAAAGAAAAAAACAGACAACCCCAUCAAAAAGCAGGCAAAGGAUAUGAACAGACACUUCUCAAAAGAAGACAUUUAUGUGGCCAACAAACGUGAAAAAAAGCUCAUCAUCACUGGUCAUUAGAGAAAUGCAAAUCAAAACCACAGUGAGAUACCAUCUCACGCCAGUCAGAAUGGUGAUUAUUAAAAAGUCAGGAAACAACAGAUGCUGGCGAGGCUGUGGAGAAAUAGGAACACUUUUACACUGUUGGUGGGAAUGCAAACUAGUUCAACCAUUGCGGAAGACAGUAUGGCGAUUCCUCAAAGAUCCAGAAGCAGAAAUACCAUUUGACCCAGCAAUCCCAUUACUGAGUAUACACCCAAAGGAAUGUAAAUCAUUCUACUAUAAAGACACAUGCACACAUGUUUAUUGCAGCACUAUUUACAAUAGCAAAGACAUGGAACCAACCCAAAUGCCCAUCAAUGAAAGACUGGAUAAAGAAAAUAUGGCAUAUCUACACCAUGGACUACUACAUAGCCAUAAAAAGGAAAGAGAUCAUGCCCUUUGCAGGAACAUGGAUGAAGCUGGAAGCCAUCAUCCUCAGCAAACUAACACAGGAACAGAAAACCAAACACCACAUGUUCUCACUCAUAAGUGGAGUUGAACAUUGAGAACAUAUGGACACAGAGAGGGGAACAACAAACACCAGGGCCUGUUGGGGGGUAGGGGGUGAGGGGAGGGAACUUAGAGGAUGGAUCAAUAGGUGCAGCAAAACACCAUGGCACACGUAUACCUAUGUAACAAACCUGCAUGUUCUGUACCCGUAUCCCCCCCCUUUUCUUGGAAGAAAUAAAAAAAUAAGAGGGCUCUAUCCAUCAUGGCUGUUGGCUGUCAAAUUAUUUUGAGUGAAUAGAAACCCAUGGUUCCACCUGGAGAACAGAGGGUAUAAAUCCCUCCUGUCCACCACACAGGAUUUUCAGGAGGAGGCACUGACAGAAUGGAUAGGAAAGAGCUGACGUUGUUACUAUCAUUAUUACCGAUCAGCCUAACUCAUAGGUAUAUGCAGUUCUUCAUUCCUUUGAGUUAUUUCAUAAGGAUGGCUGUUCUCAACUUGAACGCCAAGUCUUGAAUGCUUGUCUUGAUGGGUUGUGGAACUUGCAACCGAUUUGUUAAUAAGUGAAAUACUGCAUUUGGUGAAUUAUUUACUUAAUUCAGAUGAUUCCCAGAAUAACUUCCUUCACUGGGAUGUAUCUUGUUGAGUGGCAACAAAACAAGGAUUGUAUGUGAUUCCCAUCCUAGCUUAAUAGGCGUUAGUCCAAAACCCAGGAAUGUGCCAUCCGUGGGGAUGUUUUGGGUGGAUGGGUAGAAAAAGGGUGGAAACCCUUGUCAUAGGAUAUAUUUCUGGGAAGGAGAUGCCUAGGUCAAUAGGUUUCAACAUUUUUAUGGUUCUUGAUACUGUGAAAAAUUACCUCCCCAAAGGAUUCCAUCAAUGUGUUCAGCCUUUGAGAUUGUAUGCUACACCGUUUACAGAGCUCUUUCGGUCAUGUUGGUUAUUGUUUUGUAGGUUUGGUGAGUGUCGUACCCCAGUUUAACAGGUAGGGAGAUCGAGACUUGGAGACAGACGGAAUGACAUGUGAAGUUCACAAUCCUUUUUCCUGGCCGGAGGAUCCAGGUUCUCUGAAGCUUAGUUGAGACUGAGCUAAAGUUAAUCUGCGGCGACGUUCUGGAUAUACUGGACAAACACCUCAUUCCAGCAGCUACCACUGGCAAGUCCAAGGUUUUCUAUUACGAAAUGUAGGUUCUAUACUAACAAUUAACAAGUGUACUUCAAUACAUUUAAACAUUCUCAGGAAUAAUUGGCUUUGUUUCUUUUUUUUCUUAGGCAUUUAAUAUUAUUUUCCUUAUUAAAUAUAACCAAAAAUCCCACAGAAAUUAACAAGAGGAGGAGCCUCUAAAUAUCAACAAAAUUAUCACUUGAUAGACUAGAAUUAAACAAGCAAAUGAUUCUAAGAAAUGGCACAAGUGUAUUCAUCAUAAAAUAAAAUUUCUACAUGAAACAUUCA